This is a long non-coding RNA of Pantherophis guttatus, 602 nucleotides long. RefSeq lists it as uncharacterized. The record is from RefSeq and is a predicted model, not a curated record. NCBI's taxonomy places the organism in Eukaryota, Metazoa, Chordata, Lepidosauria, Squamata, Colubridae.
ACCUGACUCAUUUGUUUGCUUUUAACACUGAUCAGCUGUAGGACGGCCCUUUGAAGCCCCGCGGCAAGAGUUUAAACAGGUUUUUUCCCUCUAGUCAUCAGCUGGGACUCAGGAGGCAGCAAUAGAUUGGGGGUGGGACCAAAUAAAAGAUUUUAAAGAAAUAGGAGAAAACCAGUCCCUGUUUUCAGAGGACAAGAAUAUUUGAAGGAAAACUAAGAUGGGAAUUUCAGCCUGGAAUAUUUUAUUGCCUAUGUCCUUUUCCAGUUUCUCAUUGCUUCCAGCUUUCUAUUCCUAUUUUAUUGCAGUCAAACUGAAUGGUGUUUUUGACAACAUCAUGGACAUAACUGCGUGCGGUGGAUGUGGUUUGCCAUUUCUUUCUGGGAUGCAGUUUUGAUUUCCAGUCUGUUUUACAGCCCUGAUGUUCCCUGGAGGUCUACCAUUAAUGAGCACCAGUCCUGAUGAGGUUCCAAGUCCAGACAUGGUCAGCUGCCAUCUGCUAAGAAUGUGUUGCAGUACAGCAAAUAAAUUGCUGGGGUGUGUACCACACUCCUACACGCAGCUUAGGGCAUUUCCACAUAGCCAUCAUCUGUAUCCUCAAAUCC